UACGGAGGAGGCAAGCGUUAUCCGGAAUUAUUGGGCGUAAAGCGUCCGCAGGUGGCACUUCAAGUCUGUCGUCAAAGACCGGGGCUUAACUUCGGAAAGGCAGUGGAAACUGAACAGCUAGAGUAUGGUAGGGGCAGAGGGAAUUCCUGGUGUAGCGGUGAAAUGCGUAGAGAUCAGGAAGAACAUCGGUGGCGAAGGCGCUCUGCUGGACCAUAACUGACACUCAGGGACGAAAGCUAGGGGAGCGAAUGGG
Molecule: ribosomal RNA, 253 nt
Filed under: uncultured bacterium
Lineage: Bacteria
Description: partial 16S ribosomal RNA
Rfam family: Bacterial small subunit ribosomal RNA
Source: RNAcentral